AUUUCCCCAAGGCAGUUCUCCUAAAGUGAGACCUCCCCAUUGCACUCCAGGUAGGCUGACCCCUGCAAGUUUUCCCAAUAUGGGAAACUUGACUGCGCAGUUUUCUGGCAAUGGGGAACUUUGUUUGUGUUUUUCUCCU
This 139-nucleotide small nuclear RNA is filed under the name Crocodylus porosus (Australian saltwater crocodile). Its description in RNAcentral is "U1 spliceosomal RNA (ENSCPRG00005004508.1)". It matches the Rfam family "U1 spliceosomal RNA", at positions 27 to 166 of the family's 166-position model. Rfam says of the family: U1 is a small nuclear RNA (snRNA) component of the spliceosome (involved in pre-mRNA splicing). Its 5' end forms complementary base pairs with the 5' splice junction, thus defining the 5' donor site of an intron. Lineage: Eukaryota; Metazoa; Chordata; Crocodylia; Crocodylidae. The record is from RNAcentral.